This is a regulatory RNA element of 75 nucleotides. It matches the Rfam family "Coronavirus frameshifting stimulation element". Rfam says of the family: In the classical situation a sequence 32nt downstream of the stem is complementary to part of the loop. Revised in 2020-2021 to expand the seed alignment. The record is from Rfam.
GAGCAAGGGGCUCUAGUGCAGCUCAACUAGAGCCCUGCAAUGGCACUGACACUGAUCAUUGUGUCAGAGCAUUUG